UGGUUAAAGAAAUUACAGCCACUUUGACCUGAGGCAUUCCCCAAGUAAAAUGGGUACUAAAAUGAAACGUCUUUCAGUCAGUACCCUGAAAUUUCGUGUGCCCAAGAUGUGUGAUCCAUCUUAUCAGAGGGCCUCCUACGUACUGGAUUUGAAUCACGACCUACCAGCAUCAUAGGACCACUCUCACUGCCUGCAUGACCUCCAGUGACUACCACAGAGACGUGGAAAGACAGGGCUUUUGGGUUGAGUAGUCAUGCACCAAUGAGCCCCAACAAGGCCAGUGAAGCUCAGAAGAUGGGUCCCAAUAUUUCCCAGCAGAAUUCCAAUUUACACAGGCCAAUUUAUAAAACUGCCCCAGAAGAUAAACUUCUAGGGAGGGGCCAUUGGAGCACACAGUUCAAAGAAGGCAGGCCAUGUGGCUGAGGCCAGAACAGUACCCUCAGGACCUGGGCCUCCUCUCCCAUAACCCAUCUUCCCUUGUAGGAAAAGGCUCUUAAGGUUGUGACACCUGCCAUUGACUACUUGGGCCUGGAACUGCUUUAACUAUGAUCUUCUAGACAGAAAAGUCCUGCCAGAGAGAGCCAAUCCUGAGCAGGACAAAUUAUACACCAAACACAAAGUCAUCGCCUUCAGCUUCUGAAUUACCCCAAGAGGGGCCACCAAGUCAAGACUGACUCCACCAGGGAUUUGAACCAGGAACCUUGCAGUUGCAAGCCCUGCACCUUAACCAACUGUGCAAAUAGACCACAGGUGUUAAGGAAGGGCAGAAAGCUUUCUUGAGCUGUAAUUUGAAUAGGAAUGCUGCACCCUGAGGCACUGUGGCCUGCCUCAAAGCCGGGUGGGGCUGACGGUCAUCAGCAGCUUCAGCUGCUUCCUUCCCUCAGAGUUGCCCCAGCUGAGGAAAAAAGCCCCUUGCUGAGUCAGUUGAAAAGCCUUGUUCACAGCUGCUGCUGGGCCCUCGUGAGUGCCCCCGUGGCUUUCAGUCGCCAUGUUGACGCUGCCAGAACCACUUGCACGCCUGGGCCACUUCCUGAGCUACUGCCCACACAGGGACCCGUUGCUGGCAGCAAACGCCCCGGGGAGCCUUUUGGCCCUGCGACCUGGGACUGGGGCAUGCCAGAGAGGCCGGCCAGAGCCCCCCGCAGGCUCCGGUUGUGCAUUGCUCCCCUCCGCUGUUUUCUCCAGCCUGGCUGCCCGCUGGGUUCCGCCCCUGGGGCUGGGCUGCCCCCGACCUGCAGGGAGAGAAAGCCCCAGGGGCAGCACUUGCCCUCUGCCCCGCAGGCUCCCUCAGGUUUUGCUCCUAGAGAUGAUAUCCGAAGGAUAGAGAAGGAGACGGAAAGCAGAGAGAGAGCUGGAAGAUGGAUUCUCACUCUGCACCUAGUGGUGCAAUCUCAGCUCACUGCAACCUCUGCCUCCUGGGUUCAAGCGAUUCUCCUGCCUCAGCCUCCAGAGUAGCUGGGAUUACAGGUGAGUGCCGCCAUACCCAGCUAAUUUUUGUAUUUUUGGUAGAGAAUACUACCACUGUGUUGGCCAGGCUGGUGUUGAAUUCCUGGCCUCAAGUAAUGAGCCCUCCUCAGCCUCCAAAAGUGCUAGGAUUUCAGGCAUGAGCCACUCACUGCACCUGGCCCCAAAUAUUUCAUUUAAUUGCUCAUAAGCUUCUCCUUUCACAAAACACUAGGGCACAAACAUAAUUCUGGAACGUUCUUUGUUAUUUUAUAAGAAGGAUGGCCUUUCAUCCAGUUUCCAUUAACAUGUUCCUUAUUUUAUCUGAGACCUUAUCAGGAGGUCUUUAUCAUACCAUCCAUAGAUUACCAACAUUCUGAUCACAACCACUAAAAUAAUCUCUAAGAAGACCGAGGCUUUCUCUAUAGCUUUCCACUGCUUUUGAACUUUCACCAGAAUCACACUUUAUGGUUCGCUAGUGGCAACAUAGGCUUUUUCUAGUCCACUGCUCCAAACUCUUCUGGCCUUUGCCCAUUAUCCAGUUCCAAACCAAUGUAUGCAGUGAAAACAGUGGUAUGUGGGAAAUUUAUAGCUAUAAACACAUUAAAAAACAAGAUAGAUCUCAAACAACCUAACUGUACAAAUGCAGGAAUUUGAAAGAGAAGAACAAACUAAACUCAAGGCUGCAGAAGGAAGGAAAUAAUAAAGACUAGAACAGAGAUAUAGAAAAUAAAUAAUAGAAAAACAAUACACAAAAGCAAUGAAAACAAAAAUUAGUUAUUUGAGAUCAACAAAAUUGACAAACCUUUAAGUAGAUGGACUAAGAAAAAAAAUACUGGUGUUACUAAAAUCAGAAAUACAAGUGGGAACAUUACCGAUUCUACAGAAAUAAAAAGGAUUAUAAGAGAAUAUCAUGAGUGGCAUUCCAACAAAUAUACUCCAAAUGGUAUUCUAACAAAUGUACUCCAACAAAUUGGGUAACCUAGAUGAAAUGGACAGAUUUCAAUAAAUACAAAAUUGACCAGCAUAAAAAAGAAAUAGAAAAUCUGAAUAGAUCAAUAGUAAGGAAAUUGGAAUCAAUAAUCAAUAAACUCCUGGCAGAGAAAAGCCCUGGACCUGAUGGCUUCACCAGUUACCAGUGAACUCUACCACAAAUCCUUUUUUGUUUAGAGACAGAGUCUUGCUCUGUCCCCUAAGCUGGAGUGAGUGAAGUGAUCUCGGCUCACUGCAACCUCCACCUCCUGAGUUCCAGUGAUUCUUCUGCCUCAGCCUCCAGAGUAGCUGGGAUUACAGGCACCUGCUACCAUAUCUGGCUAAUUUUUGUAUUUUUUUGUAGUGAUAGGGUUUCACCCUGUUGGCCAGGCUGGUGUCAAACUUCUGACCUCAGGUGAUCUGCCUGCCUUGGCCUCCCAAAGUGCUGGGAUUACAGCCAUGAGCCACUGUGCCUGUCCCUAACACUCAUCGUUAUUAAACCUUUCCAAAAAUGCUGAAGGGGAGGGAAUACUUCCUAACGCAUUCCAUGAGGCUGGUAUUAUCUUGAUGCCAAAACAAGACAAUGACAUUAUAAGAAAAGAAAACUACAGACGAUAUGUCCUGUGAACAUUGAUGCAAAAACUGUCAACAAAAUACCCGCAAACUAAAUUCAGCAGUGUAGGAAAAGGAUUAUCCACUGUGACCAGGCCAGAUUUAUUCCUGAAAUGCAAGGAUGGAUCAAUUCACAAAAUUAAAUCAAUGUAAU
Long non-coding RNA from Callithrix jacchus (white-tufted-ear marmoset), 3181 nucleotides. Lineage: Eukaryota; Metazoa; Chordata; Mammalia; Primates; Cebidae. The record is from Ensembl.